This 370-nucleotide ribosomal RNA is filed under the name uncultured bacterium. RNAcentral describes it as "bacterial SSU rRNA". It matches the Rfam family "Bacterial small subunit ribosomal RNA", at positions 527 to 896 of the family's 1533-position model. The record is from RNAcentral.
AGAGGGUGCAAGCGUUAAUCGGAAUUACUGGGCGUAAAGGGCGCGUAGGUGGUUAAUUAAGUCAGAUGUGAAAUCCCUGGGCUUAACCUAGGAAUUGCAUAUGAAACUGAUUGGCUAGAGUACGGUAGAGGGAAGUGGAAUUUCCGGUGUAGCGGUGAAAUGCGUAGAUAUCGGAAGGAACACCAGUGGCGAAGGCGGCCUUCUGGACAGAUACUGACGCUGAGAUGCGAAAGCGUGGGGAGCAAACAGGAUUAGAUACCCUGGUAGUCCACGCUGUAAACGAUGUCGAUUUGGAGUUUGUUGCCUAGAGUGAUGGGCUCCGAAGCUAACGCGAUAAAUCGACCGCCUGGGGAGUACGGCCGCAAGGUUA